Molecule: ribosomal RNA, 492 nt
Filed under: uncultured bacterium
Lineage: Bacteria
Description: partial 16S ribosomal RNA
Rfam family: Bacterial small subunit ribosomal RNA
Source: RNAcentral
AGUGAACGCUGGCGGUAGGCCUAACACAUGCAAGUCGAACGGCAGCACAGUAAGAGCUUGCUCUUACGGGUGGCGAGUGGCGGACGGGUGAGGAAUACAUCGGAAUCUACUUUUUCGUGGGGGAUAACGUAGGGAAACUUACGCUAAUACCGCAUACGACCUACGGGUGAAAGCAGGGGAUCUUCGGACCUUGCGCGAUUGAAUGAGCCGAUGUCGGAUUAGCUAGUUGGCGGGGUAAAGGCCCACCAAGGCGACGAUCCGUAGCUGGUCUGAGAGGAUGAUCAGCCACACUGGAACUGCGACACGGUCCAGACUCCUACGGGAGGCAGCAGUGGGGAAUAUUGGACAAUGGGCGCAAGCCUGAUCCAGCCAUACCGCGUGGGUGAAGAAGGCCUUCGGGUUGUAAAGCCCUUUUGUUGGGAAGGAAAAGCAGCAGGUUAAUACCCCGCUGUUCUGACGGUACCCAAAGAAUAAGCACCGGCUAACUUCGUG